Molecule: unclassified non-coding RNA, 640 nt
Filed under: Hevea brasiliensis (rubber tree)
Lineage: Eukaryota; Viridiplantae; Streptophyta; Magnoliopsida; Malpighiales; Euphorbiaceae
Source: RNAcentral
AAGAAGAAUAUAGACAAUGAAAUGAGUGGAAGAGGGAGAUUUGUCUAUAUUCUUCUUCUUUUCUACUUUCUCCUCCCAUUUUUCCAUUACAAACACUACAUUUUUCUGUUUUUGAUUGAAAGUUUUCAUUUUUAGUAUUUUGGACUAAAUCACCUGCUUUGGGUUUUCUUGAUUUUUGCAGGGUUUUUCUUUUUUGUCUGACUGACCCUUUUGGGGGUAUUUUCAAAUCUUGAAAAGUUCUGAGUUCUCUUCAUAAAAAGCUUCAAGACACUAUUUUUCAAUUUUUCUUGUGUGAAACUCAAAUGGGUAUGUCUUGAAUUAGUGUUAGGAGGCAAAGAGUUAAGUAAUAAAAGAUAAAAAGAUGAAGAUACAGUGUGAUGUGUGUGAGAAAGCUCAAGCUACUGUGAUUUGCUGUGCUGAUGAGGCUGCUCUGUGUGCAAAAUGUGAUGUUGAAGUUCAUGCUGCUAAUAAAUUAGCAAGUAAGCACCAAAGGCUUCAUCUUCAGUGCCUAUCUAACAAGCUUCCUCCUUGUGAUAUUUGCCAAGAUAAAGCAGCCUUCAUCUUCUGUGUUGAGGAUAGAGCUCUCUUUUGCAAGGACUGUGACGAAGCAAUUCAUUCAGCCAGCAGCCUCGCUAAGAAC